GAUGAACGCUAGCGACAGGCUUAACACAUGCAAGUCGAGGGGUAACAGGGUAGCAAUACCGCUGACGACCGGCGCACGGGUGAGUAACGCGUAUGCAACCUGCCUAUAACUGGGGAAUAGCUCCCUGAAAGGGGAAUUAACACCGCAUAACACUAUUGAUUCGCAUGGAUUGGUAGUUAAAUGUAGCGAUACAGGUUAUAGAUGGGCAUGCGUGACAUUAGCUAGUUGGUGAGGUAACGGCUCACCAAGGCUACGAUGUCUAGGGGUUCUGAGAGGAAGGUCCCCCACACUGGUACUGAGACACGGACCAGACUCCUACGGGAGGCAGCAGUGAGGAAUAUUGGUCAAUGGGCGCAAGCCUGAACCAGCCAUGUCGCGUGCAGGAAGACUGCCCUAUGGGUUGUAAACUGCUUUUAUAGUAGAAGAAACACAUUUACGUGUAGAUGUCUGCCAGUAUACUAUGAAUAAGCAUCGGCUAA
This 479-nucleotide ribosomal RNA is filed under the name uncultured bacterium. Its description in RNAcentral is "bacterial SSU rRNA". It matches the Rfam family "Bacterial small subunit ribosomal RNA", at positions 28 to 500 of the family's 1533-position model. The record is from RNAcentral.